RNAcentral lists this ribosomal RNA (466 nucleotides) under uncultured bacterium. RNAcentral describes it as "bacterial SSU rRNA". It matches the Rfam family "Bacterial small subunit ribosomal RNA", at positions 330 to 794 of the family's 1533-position model. The record is from RNAcentral.
CCCAGACUCCUACGGGAGGCAGCAGUGAGGAAUAUUGGUCAAUGGCCGGAAGGCUGAACCAGCCAAGCCGCGUGAAGGACGAAGGUGCCAAGCAUUGUAAACUUCUUUUGUCAAGGGACAAAAUCAGGCUCGAGAGCCUGACCGAGGGUACUUGAAGAAAAAGCAUCGGCUAACUCCGUGCCAGCAGCCGCGGUAAUACGGAGGAUGCGAGCGUUAUCCGGAUUUAUUGGGUUUAAAGGGUGCGUAGGCGGACUUUUAAGUCAGCGGUAAAAGCCCGGGGCUCACCCCCGGCGAGCCGUUGAAACUGCAUCCCUUGAGUGCGCGAGAAGUAUGCGGAAUGCGUGGUGUAGCGGUGAAAUGCAUAGAUAUCACGCAGAACUCCGAUUGCGAAGGCAGCAUACCGGCGCGCAACUGACGCUCAUGCACGAAAGCGUGGGUAUCGAACAGGAUUAGAUACCCCAGUAUU